RNAcentral lists this ribosomal RNA (696 nucleotides) under uncultured bacterium. RNAcentral describes it as "bacterial SSU rRNA". It matches the Rfam family "Bacterial small subunit ribosomal RNA", at positions 32 to 715 of the family's 1533-position model. The record is from RNAcentral.
AACGCUAGCUACAGGCUUAACACAUGCAAGUCGAGGGGAAACGAUAUUGGAAGCUUGCUUCUGAUAGGCGUCGACCGGCGCACGGGUGAGUAACGCGUAUCCAACCUGCCCAUCACUUGGGGAUAACCUUGCGAAAGUAAGACUAAUACCCAAUGAUAUCUCUAGAAGACAUCUGAAGGAGAUUAAAGAUUUAUCGGUGAUGGAUGGGGAUGCGUCUGAUUAGCUUGUUGGCGGGGUAACGGCCCACCAAGGCGACGAUCAGUAGGGGUUCUGAGAGGAAGGUCCCCCACAUUGGAACUGAGACACGGUCCAAACUCCUACGGGAGGCAGCAGUGAGGAAUAUUGGUCAAUGGACGAGAGUCUGAACCAGCCAAGUAGCGUGCAGGAUGACGGCCCUAUGGGUUGUAAACUGCUUUUAUAAGGGAAUAAAGUGGGGCUCGUGAGCUCCUUUGCAUGUACCUUAUGAAUAAGGACCGGCUAAUUCCGUGCCAGCAGCCGCGGUAAUACGGAAGGUCCGGGCGUUAUCCGGAUUUAUUGGGUUUAAAGGGAGCGUAGGCCGCAGGUUAAGCGUGUUGUGAAAUGUAGGGGCUCAACCUCUGCACUGCAGCGCGAACUGGCUUGCUUGAGUACGCACAACGUGGGCGGAAUUCGUGGUGUAGCGGUGAAAUGCUUAGAUAUCACGAAGAACUCCGAUUG